GUGGCAGAAGUUGAAGUCGCUGUGGAUAAGGUCGGUACACCUGCCGGCGAAGAGGAGGAGGAAGAGGAGGAAGUAGAAAUAUCCUGGAUUCAAGAAAAGGCCGAGGAUCUUGUUAUUGCUACUGGCCAAGCAAUUGAUAGAGUUCCUGGGCCGCGAGUAGCGGAGACUCGCAUGCCCUGGCUCGUUGCAUUGCCGUUAGCCUACCUAGGAAUUACUUUUGUCAUUGCCUGUGUCAGGACGUACAAGAAAUACACUUCCCCCAAAGGACAACGAAAACGCCAGGUAGAUUCGUUUGGCCACAUUAGCGACAGGGGUAAAUAUAUAAGUUUUCGAGAAUUCUUGGGUAUUUAGUGUAAUUUCUGACUGCAUCCCCCCCUCCCCCCCCCCCCCUCCCAAAUUAGCCUUUGUCUCUUGCUUGCAUUUCAGAGGGAUUCAAUUUUUGACUCAUUCCCAGCCCGCCCCUAAAACCUGUGCUUGUCUCGACUUGGCUGUGUAUCUGACGAAAGACUGUGGUGGCAGGUAGGAAAGAAUGCAUUUUUGGUGGAAAGUUUAGGAGAGUACUUUCCUACGAAAAGAGAUGAAUUGGAUGCCAACAAGCUUCAGAAGCUCGCAAACAAGGUAAUAUCACUGAUCCACCUUUCUCGUUCUUUUUCUUUAAUUAAGAACCGCAGUUUCUAUUCUGACGCUCACAUUGGAUACAAUGCUCGUCUAAAACGCACUUAUCUUAACUGUCGAAUCUAUCAGUGUGAAAGGUCUAGGUGUGCAUCAAUCUUUUUCGUUCAUUGUUCUCUAAACGAAGACAUUACGAAGACAUCGUUCUUAUGAAUCAAAUUUUUUGUUGCUCGUUGUUGCUGGUUACUUCGAUUAGCGAUUUAUCUCAGAUAAGUAGGUAAUUUGCAUUUUGACUUAAGAAGUUGUGGGGUUUCUACGAUUCGAUAAUUAUCUUUCUAAACAUCUUUCCUUCACAUGCGAGUUUGUAACAUUAGCACUCGCUAAUUUUUUCAUGUCGUGAAACAAACUUUCUGAACCUUUUCUUUGAUCAUAGUCGGUUUAAGAUUAGAAAGCUUACUCUAUGGUUUAAUUUGUGGAGAUGUGCAGUGCAAUUUUUCUCUAGGCGAGGUUCUGCGCAAAUACGUACGUUAUGCUCUAAAUGAGCGGCCAUUCACCCCAGAGACAGUUGCUGACCUGCUCCACUUGAGAAAGGUCUCAGGUUUAAGUGAAUCCGAGGUUGCUGAUGUGUUGAAUGACGUUGCCAAACGCUUAGUGAAGUCUAAAGGUACCUCACCCAUGUGCGGCUAUUGUUCUUCGUUUGAAUGUCUUUUGGUUAUAUAUAUUAAACUUCAUUUUUUGUACACCUUCCUCCAUAUUGGCAUGUUCUGUUGUCUUUUCGUUUGCUCCAAGUGCAUCCUUUCUGGUAUAUCCGAAAUAGGGACUUGUAUUCUCUGAACGAUUUGAUAAAGAAUAUAUCAACAGUUAAAGAAUGUGGUUGUGCCAGGCCCAGUCGUGAUGAAUACAGAAGGCAUGACAGAAAAGGGUAUUAAGCGAAAGGCUGCAGUUCAGGCGCUCUUUUCCAAGCUCCUCUAUCUUUCUGAAGUAAGUUCUUCCUUCCAAUUGCUGCAACAAUUUAGGCAUGUUUCUAAAGGAAUCUAGUACAGUUAUGCUUUCAGGAUUAAAAGAUAUGUAUAUUCCUCCAAGUCCAAUUAAACAAACUCAUGGUUGAUUUUCUUGACUUUGCUCACAUGACAUGUUCCAACCAAAGAUUCACAAUGUGCAAGGCUAUGUGACUGUCAUGUGUCAUCAAUUGUGUUUUCUUAUCAUAUGUUUAAGAAUGUUUUGGAUUAGAUUGCGGAUGUAUUUUUCAUUGUAGAAUUUAUCUUACUUGCUGCUGGUGUGUUCCAGUUGGAGGAGUUUGUUACGAGUGAUAAUAGAAGUGCCUUGACCAUCAAGACAACUUUUGGUGUUACCGAGUAAGUCUUCAUACACUACUUUUUAAUUAUUGCUAAGCAUUUGAUAUUAUGUACUCGAUUUAUGGACUCAAAAGUUUCAUGUUGGGUUUUGUGAGAUCUCGAGUUGAGUUGAAAAGUAUUGUAUCAAGGUGGUUACUUUCUUUUUAUUUGCUGCAGCG
This 2125-nucleotide long non-coding RNA is filed under the name Physcomitrium patens. RNAcentral's name for it is "long non-coding RNA (PPAT_LNC002422)". Lineage: Eukaryota; Viridiplantae; Streptophyta; Bryopsida; Funariales; Funariaceae. The record is from RNAcentral.